GUACUUUUGAAGAGUCUCAAACUAGGACGAAACAGCUGUCCAGUAC
This 46-nucleotide non-coding RNA is filed under the name Trichobilharzia regenti. The record is from RNAcentral. Lineage: Eukaryota; Metazoa; Platyhelminthes; Trematoda; Strigeidida; Schistosomatidae.